CUCGUUGAGUUGUUUCUUGUGAUCUGGUGUGGGGAAACUUCUUCUGAUUUUAUGAAUGUGUAGUUCUUAUGAACCUUAAUAGAGGGAAAAGCUCAUUGAUGAUGAUCUAAAUCAUUAUAACAUAGCUUGAAAACUUUCAUCUUAUCCAUGAAAAAAAGACCCUUCAUAGAUAAUAGUAAGGGUGUCCCACAUUUGUUUGCAUGAACUUUUGAAUAUUCUUCUUUUCACAUGAC
Molecule: long non-coding RNA, 233 nt
Filed under: Phaseolus vulgaris (common bean)
Lineage: Eukaryota; Viridiplantae; Streptophyta; Magnoliopsida; Fabales; Fabaceae
Description: long non-coding RNA (PVUL_LNC001669)
Source: RNAcentral